CAGUAUGAGGUGAGUGGUUGCAGUAUCAACCAAUCAGCAGAGGGGGGCGACAUAUUUAAGCAGGCGUAGAGCCAGCUUUGGGAAGGUUCGUCUGGUCGACAGGUCACCUGACUUCCGGUUGUCGCGGAGAUUAUCACCGCUGCGCGUAGAACUGGCUCUCACACCAAGACUGCUGUGGGAAACUCCCUUGUUGUGCUGCCUCUCGCGCCGAGCCGACUUUCGUGUGUGGCUUCCGUGUGUGGCAAACCCCCGUCAUCCGGGUAGGUGAAUCCACGGCUUGUGGGCAUGUUCCUGUCUAUGUCGGACGUUUAUGGUUGUUUUUGUUUUGUUUUUUUGCUUUUAGGGGGAAUUAUUGGACGGCCUUUUAACAACUUAGCCGCCUUCCAGGCGGCUGAUAGUGGCUGUGGCGGCGUGUGGUGCUGGAGGAUCUACAGUCGUUCCCACACGUACAGAUUGGCGUCCUAAUUGCUGCUGCUUUGCUUUGCUUUGUUUUAUUUGUUUUAAUUGUUUUAACAUUGACUCUUUUAAUUGUUUUGGGACACUUUUAUGCCCCGCCGCUCCACUAGAGGCGCGGGGCGCCGUCUGUAUCGAGGACUUGGUUGAUGGCUGGCCUCUAGUGCAUAUGUUUUAUGUUACGGCAGUUUUAUUUUGUUUAUCUGUUGUCCCUUUUUAUUGUGUUUAACUCCACUGCUUCUAACACUUGUAUUUCUUUUUAUUUUAGUGGUCUGAGAGCGUGGAGUGGUGGUGCCUCUGUGGUGCGGGUCCCCGGUUUAGUCUAAUCCUCCCCUCAUCUGCAUGCUGAUCACGUUUGCCUGUGCUGUGGGACUGAAGUGCGGUGUGAAGUGUGUUUGUCUUGCACGUGUGCCUGGGGUGGCCUUUGUUUGGAUCCCCUCACCUCAUUUAGCCCACCUAUCUCCUGGUAAGCCUCAGCCAUCUUUUAUUUUUGAAUCGUGGGUUUUGUUUUGUUGAUUUUAAAUAAAGAUUGUUUAAUUGAUUGGA
Melanotaenia boesemani (Boeseman's rainbowfish) is the source of this 999-nucleotide long non-coding RNA. RefSeq lists it as uncharacterized. The record is from RefSeq and is a predicted model, not a curated record. NCBI's taxonomy places the organism in Eukaryota, Metazoa, Chordata, Actinopteri, Atheriniformes, Melanotaeniidae. The transcript has 2 exons.